This 507-nucleotide ribosomal RNA is filed under the name uncultured bacterium. RNAcentral's name for it is "bacterial SSU rRNA". It matches the Rfam family "Bacterial small subunit ribosomal RNA", at positions 15 to 518 of the family's 1533-position model. The record is from RNAcentral.
GAUCCUGGCUUAGGAUGAACGCUGGCGGCGUGCCUAACACAUGCAAGUCGAACGGGGUUAAGGGAAAUUUCGGAUGGAACUUAACUAGUGGCGGACGGGUGAGUAACGCGUGGAUAACCUGCCUCACACAGGGGGAUAGCAGCUGGAAACGGCUGGUAAUACCACAUAAGACCACAAAGCCGCAUGGCUUUGAGGUAAAAGAUUUAUCGGUGUGAGAUGGAUCCGCGUCUGAUUAGCCAGUUGGCGGGGUAACGGCCCACCAAAGCGACGAUCAGUAGCCGGCCUGAGAGGGUGAACGGCCACAUUGGGACUGAGACACGGCCCAAACUCCUACGGGAGGCAGCAGUGGGGAAUAUUGCACAAUGGGCGCAAGCCUGAUGCAGCCAACGCCGCGUGAGUGAAGAAGUAUUUCGGUAUGUAAAGCUCUAUCGGCAGGGAAGAAAGGCCCGAAAGGGAGAUGACGGUACCUGACUAAGAAGCCCCGGCUAACUACGUGCCAGCCGCAGC